UUUAUGAGUUAAGAUUUGUUUAUAAUUUUUAUGAUUAGUUUGUUAUUUUUAAAGUUAUGAUUUAGAAAUUUGUUUUAUUAGCUGUAUAUAUAGAUCCACAUAGCCAUGGUGAGUAAAAAUAAGAACUUGACAAGAUAGUUGCCCUACCUAGCGAAGUUUGAAAACUGAACAACACUUGUGUUCAUCGUUUCACCUUCUUCAACUCUAUUUUCUCCAUGGAUUAUGCUGCGUAUCAAGUUAAAAUAGCUAAUGGUGACGCAUUCUGGAGAAUCAACUUGGGGAAAUUGAGCUGUCACAACGGCGGCACAAUUACAUCACUACCUUUCAAGAUUUUCAAGUGGAAUUGGCAUAUAUCAGUAACACGGCGUCCUAAUCGCAUCACAUUAGUUGCACAAGAAUCAACAAACAAUCCUCCACUCGCAUGUUUCUACAUUUCUCUACUAUCAACUGAUUCUAAAGUCGUCGCCAAAUAACAUCAAAUAGACAAUAUCAUUAUUCACAAGGAUAGUUUUGUUUGGAACCUUGAUAUUCCCAUACCUGAUCAAUGUGUUAUUAAAAUUCAAUUCUGGGACGUCAAUGUUUGUUUAAGGCCGGAAAAAGUCACCUUCUUCACUGUCUCGAACGUUAAGAUUGGACAUCUACAAAGACAUCACAAUUAAGGUCAGUGGAUCUGAUAAAAUCAUAAGAGCUCAUCAAGCUGUUCUUGCAUCAUUGUCAGAAGUUUUCGAAAAAAUGUUGGAGGAGAAUCCAUCUACUAUAACCAUACAUACCUGACAUGUCAUUUGAAGCUUGUGAAGCAUUAAUCAAUUAUCUCUAUAAAGACAUUGAAGAAGAAGAAUUUAGAAAGUAUAUGUGUGAGUUAUCCGACACAGCUGAAAAAUAUGAAAUAGCUACCUUAAAAAAGGCGUGUGAAAUGGUGCUACAAGAUGAUUUGUUAUUAUUGUGUCAUUUGUUUUGUAAAAUUACUCAACCAUCUCUGUGUGAAAGAUCUUGAAGACCUCAUUGGAACUCUUGAUAUUUCAGAAUACACUGUUUUUUCUUUUUGUUUUCAAUGGAAUAAUGAACUGAUUUUUUUUCUUU
Molecule: long non-coding RNA, 1080 nt
Organism: Trifolium pratense (red clover)
Lineage: Eukaryota; Viridiplantae; Streptophyta; Magnoliopsida; Fabales; Fabaceae
Exons: 2
Source: RefSeq, a predicted model, not a curated record